This 463-nucleotide ribosomal RNA is filed under the name uncultured bacterium. RNAcentral's name for it is "partial 16S ribosomal RNA". It matches the Rfam family "Bacterial small subunit ribosomal RNA", at positions 28 to 507 of the family's 1533-position model. The record is from RNAcentral.
GACGAACGCUGGCGGCGUGCUUAACACAUGCCAGUCGAACGGAAAGGCCUUUUCGGAGGUACUCGAGUGGCGCACGGGUGAGUAACACGUGGGUGAUCUGCCCUGCACUCUGGGAUAAGCCUGGGAAACUGGGUCUAAUACCGGAUAGGACCGCACUUUAGUGUGUGUGGUGGAAAGUUUUUUCGGUGUAGGAUGAGCCCGCGGCCUAUCAGCUUGUUGGUGGGGUAAUGGCCUACCAAGGCGGCGACGGGUAGCCGGACUGAGAGGUUGGUCGGCCACAUUGGGACUGAGAUACGGCCCAGACUCCUACGGGAGGCAGCAGUGGGGAAUAUUGCACAAUGGGCGCAAGCCUGAUGCAGCGACGCCGCGUGGGGGAUGACGGCCUUCGGGUUGUAAACUCCUUUCGCCAGGGACGAAGCGUUUUGUGACGGUACCUGGAGAAGAAGCACCGGCUAACUACGUG